AUUUAUUAGAACCAACCAACCGGGGCAACCCGUCAACUGGUGAAUCUGAAUAACUCAGCCGAUCGCUCGGUCUUCGAACUGGCGACGUGUCUUUCAAGUGUCUGCCUUAUCAGGCUUUCGAUGGUAGCCUACGCGACUACCAUGGCUAUAACGGGUAACGGAGAAUUAGGGUUCGACUCCGGAGAGGGAGCCUGAGAAACGGCUACCACAUCCAAGGAAGGCAGCAGGCGCGCAAAUUACCCACUCUCGGCACGAGGAGGUAGUGACGAAAAAUAACGAGACAGUUCUCUUACGAGGUCUGUCAUCGGAAUGGGCACAACCCAAACCCUUUAACGAGGAUCUAUUGGAGGGCAAGUCUGGUGCCAGCAGCCGCGGUAAUUCCAGCUCCAAUAGCGUAUAUUAAAGUUGUUGCGGUUAAAAAGCUCGUAGUUGGAUCUGUGGUCUGGUCUGUCGGUCUGCUUAACGGCAGCACUGGCGGACGGGCCCCUACUGCCAGUUUUCCGUGCGUGCUCUUCGCUGGGUGCGUGCGGUGGCUGGCGCGUUUACUUUGAAAAAAUUAGAGUGCUCAAAGCAGCG
This 576-nucleotide ribosomal RNA is filed under the name uncultured eukaryote. Its description in RNAcentral is "bacterial SSU rRNA". It matches the Rfam family "Eukaryotic small subunit ribosomal RNA", at positions 203 to 785 of the family's 1831-position model. The record is from RNAcentral.